Molecule: long non-coding RNA, 2757 nt
Organism: Gallus gallus (chicken)
Lineage: Eukaryota; Metazoa; Chordata; Aves; Galliformes; Phasianidae
Source: Ensembl
CUUAGAAAAUAUCGUGUACUCAGCAUGCACUUCAGGAUUUCAUUUCCUUCCGCAAAGGUUGUGAAGGAUGUAGUCAACAAGAUUUGCUGUGAACAAGCACCUGAGCACAGUGCAGAACCAGAGAAAGAGAAUGCUUUGAAGCAGCAGAGAUACGUGGAGUUAGGAAAGGGACAGAAAGCCUUGUAUGCAUUUACAGCCUAAAGAAUGGUUUUGAUGAGGAAGACAGAGGACCUGACUCACCUCUGUUACCUUUACAUCAGCACGUGGUAUGUGCACAGCUCUGCCACCCUACUGAUGGAAAUGACUGCAUUAGGUGUAGGGCUGAGAGCUGCUCUGAGAGGUCAAGGACCUCUAGCACAGGCACGCACAUUUGACGCACCACCCAUUGCUGGGGUGUCUCCUUGAACGUGCUUUUUUCUACACCAUAGACUGGUAUUUUCUACAGAACGAACACAAAGAUCGUCUGGUGAAAUCCUUUCCUCCCAUUUACAGUUGCACACCGUCCAGGUAUUGCUCUUCAGGUGGCAGCCUAAAGGUCAGUUGUCUGAGGACACAACAGAUCCGAGUGUCCCACUGGAUAUGUACCAUCUUAAAGGCUCACUGUGAAAUCUGUUGAGCUGGGGAAGCUCAAUGAGUUCAUCUGGCACUCCUUCCUAACAGCCUGUCUGUCACUUGCUGGUGACCAAGAGAGCUUGGAAAUGCCAUCUGUGAGAGGGCUUAUGCCCCACCUUGGAUGGAAAGUGCUGAGCUUGUCCCUCCAUGAGAAGGUGUUCCCCAAGGACCUACUCUGAAAUCUGUAAUGCUAUGGACGCUAAAUUGGGUCAAAUGUUUGUGCUUCUUCCCAGUGUUUUAACUCACUGCCAUUUUCUUGCUUUUAGAGAAGCAGUUAGAAAAAAACUACCCCUUUUUUUAUGUGUGUGUGUGUAUGAGUGCUCUCCAAAGUAAUGGUGGUGGCACUGGUGUACUUACGUGGCACCAGAAAAUCAUGAUAAUCCUUUCAGUACAGGAUAAUUAUUUGGCUUUACUGCUGUAUCCCUUGUAGCUGGAUAUCCAUUUUCCUUUGCUAACAUAUGCUUGUCCUGUUCAAUAGCAAUUUGUUCUGAAAAUGCUUGCAUGCCUGCUGGGCAAGCUACAUGAAUCCAGUGCAGACUCCUUUUUUGCACCUAAAAAUUAUUAUGUGGAAAACCAUUUGCAAAAUGUGAGGCAUUCAGAAGGCUGCGUGCAGUUUUUCCAGGAGAAGCCGAGGGACAUUGGAAAAUCUAGACUUUAAUUUGUAGGGUACAAUAAAUUGUAGUCAGAUGAAUAAGUCCGUAUCUGCCUCAGCACAUUCUGGAUUACUUCGGUAUUACACAAACAAACUAAUUGCACAGCCUGCAGAAUAAUCACAUCUGUUCACCCGUAACAACACAGCUCAAUCUCGGUUUCAUGGCUUAAAAUAAUGCUCCUUGCUUUCAUAUGCUUCCUCAUAUUACCAGCUGCAAGUCUCUCUGAACCAGCAUGGCUCCUGAGGUAAUUGGUAGUAACACUUGUGUAUAAAGAUGUCAAAGCGCUGCUUGUUGGAGCUCAGCUUCAGGAAAGUGGAACUCUCUGCUUCGAUUCUUAGCUCUUUCACUAACUUGGCUAAGUCCAAAAAGGAAGGAAAACCAAACGAGAGCAGGUGGCACCACAGCCAGCCUGAGAGCCAACCUAAAGUAGUUUUUUUAAGGUAUUUUGAGAUCCUCGUGUUAGCAGCUCGUGCUUGUAAGGUGUGGGCAGAGCAGUGCUUGACAACGUGGGCAGGCUUGUCUGCAAGCAAGGGACUCCCACAUCAGAAAACGGAGGAUGUUUUGCUUUUAGUCUUCAUUGAGAUGGGAGGUGGGAAAUAAAUAAAGAGCUGAUACAGCAUCAGUAUGAGAAGCUUUUCUUGCUGGGUAGCUGACAGGUGCCCCAGAGGCUGGGCUGGAAGCACUGUUCCCAGGCACAGGUCUCAUCUGCUCAUUAGCAAUGACAGAAGCACCGAGCCGUGUCAUGCAGGGCAGUGUACCGGGCAGGGCCUCCUGCUCUGUAUGCUCAAACUUAACACUGCAUUGUCGUCCAGAGGACUCGGUGGAGGCGCAGCCAGCAGUCUCCUGGAGGGCUGUGGCUGUGGCUAUGAUGGUCGGCCUUGGGAUGACCAAAGAGACCAUCACUGCGUGUUCUCACGUUGCGCGGGUAGGAGCAGGACGAGUCAUUUCUUGAGGCUAGACAGGUGAGAGUGGCCAGGAUUUGUUUCCUAACGUCCGUCGUGCAGGUCAGAUGGGUCGGAACGCCUCCCCCAUCACGCUAAACCUCAUCUCGCCCAACCGAGACCUCAGUCCCACUCCCCCGCGUCCGGCCCUGCGGAGGUUCUCCGGCUGCCGCCGGUGCCACCCGCUCGGCCCCGGGCCGGCUGCGUGCCGUUGGCACCUCAGCGGGCAGGGCACCGCCGGCAGCCGCGCUUUGCUGACUGCUCCGUUUCAUUUCCUUACUUCGCAACUUGUAGCAGUAAGUUUCUGAAGAGAAACCCGUCUCCAAACCCAGCCACGCGCACCCGUCUGCGCGUCUGUUUUACACCCGAACGGCUCGGAGACGGCCCUCCUGCCCUGCCGCCCUGCCCCCGAGGCCGCGGGGUCCCGCCGAGCCCUUUGUCCCCGCGCCGCUCGGAUGGAUGCUGUCACGCUCGCGCGGCUGCCAUGAUCCCGCCCGGCGCGUCCCCGCACCACGCGGCCGUGCCGCACCUCGCGCUCCGCGAAGGCAAAC